This 908-nucleotide non-coding RNA is filed under the name Gasteruption parvicollarium. The record is from RNAcentral. Lineage: Eukaryota; Metazoa; Arthropoda; Insecta; Hymenoptera; Gasteruptiidae.
AUUAAAUUUAAGUUAAUUAGUAAUUAAUAGAUUGAAUUUUAAUAAAGUUUAUAAAAUUUAAUUUUUGUUUAAAUAUUAGUAAUAUUAUUUUUAAAUUUAAUUAAAAUAUAAAUAAAAUAUUUUUAAAGUAUAAGUAAAUUUUUAUAAACUAAAAUAAUUUAAAUAAUUAUUUUUAAUUAUUAUAUAUUAUAUUAUGAAGUACUUAAUAUUAUAGAUAUUUUAAUGAAGAUUAAUAUAGAUAAUUAAAAUAUAAUUAAUAAAUUUUUGUGCCAGCAAUUGCGGUUAUACAGAAGAUUAAAAUUAAUUUUUUAGAUGGAUUUAAUUAAUUGAUAAUGAAUUACAAAAUUUAAAUAAUUAAAUUUAAAAUUUUAGGUAGAAUUUAAUUUUAAAAAAAAUAUUUAUUUUGUAAUGAUGAUGAUUAAUUUAAUAAAUUUUAUUGUAAACUAGGAUUAGAUACCCUAUUAUGAAAAUAUAAAAUUGAAUUUAAGUUUGGUUAGUAAUUAAUUAUUAUGAAAACUAUAAAAUUUGGCAGUAUUUAAUGUUUUUUUAGGGGAACUUGAUUUAUAAUUGAUGAUACACGAAAGGAAUUACUUGAUUUUUUUUUAUAUAUUUCCGUUAACAGAAAUUUUUUUUAGAAUUUUAAAUUUCAUAAAUAUUUAUAAAUAAUAUUUAUUUCAGGUCAAAAUGUAGAAUAAUUAAGUAAAAUUGAGUUACAAUAAAAUUAAUUUUGGUUUAGAUUUAUAUUUUUAAUAUUAUAUUGAAAUAGGAUUUAAAAGUAAAUUUAAUUUAAUUAAUUAAAUUGAUUAAAAUAAUUAAAUGUGUACAAAUAGCCCGUCAUUCUUAAUUAAAUAAGACAAGUCGAAACAUAGUAAUGUUACCGGAAGGUGAUGUUAAGAUUAUAUUUAAAU